GACGUAGGGCGCGAGCGUUGUCCGGAUUUAUUGGGCGUAAAGAGCUCGUAGGCGGUCUGUCGCGUCGGCUGUGAAAACCCGAGGCUCAACCUCGGGCCUGCAGUCGAUACGGGCAAACUGGAGUGUUGCAGGGGAGACUGGAAUUCCUGGUGUAGCGGUGAAAUGCGCAGAUAUCAGGAGGAACACCGGUGGCGAAGGCGGGUCUCUGGGCAACAACUGACGCUGAGGAGCGAAAGCGUGGGGAGCGAACAGG
RNAcentral lists this ribosomal RNA (253 nucleotides) under uncultured bacterium. RNAcentral describes it as "partial 16S ribosomal RNA". It matches the Rfam family "Bacterial small subunit ribosomal RNA", at positions 524 to 776 of the family's 1533-position model. The record is from RNAcentral.